AGCAAGAGAAUGUGAAAAGACUCAAAGCAAUCUUUGUUGCCUUCCUCACCUUCAGGCUAUUGUGGACUCUGAAAGCACAGGAUGUCACAUGUGAAGAACUGGAAUGGGGAAGGAUGCUGAGUGACACUGACAUUACAAGUAUAAUUACUUUGGGACUUGCUGCUGUUUCUCUUCUAAAUCAUAAAGCUGUCAUUGCUCAGCCAGGUAUAGUAAAUACUGGUGUGGCUCUGCAGCUUGUAUGGGUGUCAUCUCUGAUUCAGAAGUUAUGAGGAACAAAUCUAGAUGGGUGAAUAGAUUGAAAUAUGAAUUAAUUAAUGCUGACUUAAAAAAAUGAGAAGUUGCCUGAAUAUUCAUAGUUAGAGUAUUAAUAUAUAUAUAUGUUAGUGAUGGCUGUGCUGCUGAGCAGGCAUUUCUCUCCCACCAGGGAUGUUUUCCCGUGACUGCACCUUGUAUAAGUCACAGUUUUGGCCCUUGCAGAUAAAGACAUUCUCCUUAUUCUGGGAUGUAGUAAUUGUCUCCAAGGAUGACUCUUGCCUCAGAAACGAGCAGCAGGAGU
Molecule: long non-coding RNA, 556 nt
Organism: Neopsephotus bourkii (Bourke's parrot)
Lineage: Eukaryota; Metazoa; Chordata; Aves; Psittaciformes; Psittacidae
Exons: 3
Source: RefSeq, a predicted model, not a curated record